This 538-nucleotide ribosomal RNA is filed under the name uncultured Glomeromycotina. RNAcentral describes it as "SSU rRNA". It matches the Rfam family "Eukaryotic small subunit ribosomal RNA", at positions 552 to 1096 of the family's 1831-position model. Lineage: Eukaryota; Fungi; Glomeromycota. The record is from RNAcentral.
AGGGCAAGUCUGGUGCCAGCAGCCGCGGCAAUUCCAGCUCCAAUAGCGUAUAUUAAAGUUGUUGCAGUUAAAAAGCUCGUAGUUGAAUUUCGGGGUUCUACCGUUGGUCGGGCUUUGUCUGUACUGGCGUGUAGAAUUUCUACCUUCUGGGGAACCAUUAUGUUAUUAAUUUAGCGUAGUGGGAAACCAGGACCUUUACCUUGAAAAAAUUAGAGUGUUCAAAGCAGGCUUAUGUCUGAAUACAUUAGCAUGGAAUAAUAGAAUAGGACGGUGGUCCUGUUUUGUUGGUUUCUGAAUCACCGUAAUGAUUAAUAGGGAUAGUUGGGGGCAUUAGUAUUCAAUUGUCAGAGGUGAAAUUCUUGGAUUUAUUGAAGACUAACUUCUGCGAAAGCAUUUGCCAAGGAUGUUUUCAUUAAUCAAGAACGAAAGUUAGGGGAUCGAAGACGAUCAGAUACCGUCGUAGUCUUAACCAUAAACUAUGCCGACUAGGGAUCGGACGAUGUUAAUUUUUCUUGACUCGUUCGGCGCCUUACGGGAA